RNAcentral lists this ribosomal RNA (510 nucleotides) under Raorchestes sp. CESF1160. Its description in RNAcentral is "partial 16S ribosomal RNA". It matches the Rfam family "Bacterial large subunit ribosomal RNA", at positions 1910 to 2597 of the family's 2925-position model. The record is from RNAcentral. Lineage: Eukaryota; Metazoa; Chordata; Amphibia; Anura; Rhacophoridae.
GUGAUAAAUUUAACGGCCGCGGUACCCUAACCGUGCGAAGGUAGCAUAAUCACUUGUUCUUUAAAUAGGGACUUGUAUCAACGGCAUCACGAGAGCUGCACUGUCUCCCCCCUCCAAUCAGUGAAACUGAUCUCCCCGUGAAAAAGCGGGGAUAAAAUUAUAAGACGAGAAGACCCCAUGGAGCUUUAAACCCAAUAGCAAUUUAGCAAAAUACUACCACCAAGCUACAUAACCCUGCUAGCGGUUUUAGGUUGGGGUGACCACGGAGUAAAAAUUAACCUCCAUAACGAAAAGACUAAAUCUUAACCCAAAAAUUACUAUUUAAAGUAUUAGAAUACUAACGAACUAUGACCCAAUAUUGAUCAAUGAACCAAGUUACCCUGGGGAUAACAGCGCAAUCUACUUCAAGAGUUCAUAUCGACAGGUAGGCUUACGACCUCGAUGUUGGAUCAGGGUAUCCCAGUGGUGCAGCCGCUACUGAAGGUUCGUUUGUUCAACGAUUAAAACCCU